UGGGGAAUCUUCCGCAAUGGACGAAAGUCUGACGGAGCAACGCCGCGUGAGUGAUGACGGCCUUCGGGUUGUAAAGCUCUGUUAAUCGGGACGAAAGGUCUUCUUGCGAAUAGUUAGAAGAAUUGACGGUACCGGAAUAGAAAGCCACGGCUAACUACGUGCCAGCAGCCGCGGUAAUACGUAGGUGGCAAGCGUUGUCCGGAAUUAUUGGGCGUAAAGCGCGCGCAGGCGGAUUGGUCAGUCUGUCUUAAAAGUUCGGGGCUUAAUCCCGUGAUGGGAUGGAAACUGCCAAUCUAGAGUAUCGGAGAGGAAAGUGGAAUUCCUAGUGUAGCGGUGAAAUGCGUAGAUAUUAGGAAGAACACCAGUGGCGAAGGCGACUUUCUGGACGAAAACUGACGCUGAGGCGCGAAAGCCAGGGGAGCGAACGGGAUUAGAUACCCCGGUAGUCCUGGCCGUAAACGAUGGGUACUAGGUGUAGGAGGUAUCGACCCCUUCUGUGCCGGAGUUAACGCAAUAAGUACCCCGCCUGGGGAGUACGACCGCAAGGUUG
RNAcentral lists this ribosomal RNA (550 nucleotides) under uncultured bacterium. Its description in RNAcentral is "bacterial SSU rRNA". It matches the Rfam family "Bacterial small subunit ribosomal RNA", at positions 355 to 896 of the family's 1533-position model. The record is from RNAcentral.